AUACGGAGGGUGCAAGCGUUAUCCGGAUUCAUUGGGUUUAAAGGGUGCGCAGGCGGAAUGAUAAGUCAGUGAUGAAAUCCUACAGCUUAACUGUAGAACUGCCAUUGAUACUGUCAUUCUUGAGUACACUUGAAGUGGGCGGAAUGUAUCAUGUAGCGGUGAAAUGCAUAGAUAUGAUACAGAACUCCGAUAGCGAAGGCAGCUCACUAAAUUGUAACUGACGCUCAGGCACGAAAGCGUGGGGAGCAAACAGGAUUAGAUACCCGAGUAGUCC
RNAcentral lists this ribosomal RNA (274 nucleotides) under uncultured bacterium. RNAcentral describes it as "partial 16S ribosomal RNA". It matches the Rfam family "Bacterial small subunit ribosomal RNA", at positions 523 to 796 of the family's 1533-position model. The record is from RNAcentral.